GGUGAUUCAAAUUCUAUUAGGGGUCACCUUUAGCUAAGUAUUGUCGUGACUAUAGAAUAUAUGAUAAGGCCACAGUGGUUGGUACGGCCGUGGUCAUAGAUCAUACCGUGGUUUGGCAAGCCAAAAAUUUGCCUAAGAAAAUUAUCGUUAUCUAUAUCUGAUUUAGUCACUCUACAUGGGUAGUCAAAAAUCUAUAUCUACCCUGAGAGAUGGAAGUUGGAACGAUUUCGCAAAGCAUGACAUAAAAAUAUGAGUAUUUCAUAAUUUAUUUGAUUUUCUCUAUUGUCAAGUAUGAUGUUUUAUAUUAAUUGUUGUGAUUAUGACAUGUUUCCUUUAAUAAAUAAAAUUAUUUUCAUGAAGUAAGAUAGGAC
Molecule: long non-coding RNA, 371 nt
Filed under: Carica papaya (papaya)
Lineage: Eukaryota; Viridiplantae; Streptophyta; Magnoliopsida; Brassicales; Caricaceae
Description: long non-coding RNA (CPAP_LNC005618)
Source: RNAcentral